This 253-nucleotide ribosomal RNA is filed under the name uncultured bacterium. RNAcentral describes it as "partial 16S ribosomal RNA". It matches the Rfam family "Bacterial small subunit ribosomal RNA", at positions 524 to 776 of the family's 1533-position model. The record is from RNAcentral.
UACAGAGGGUGCAAGCGUUAACCGGAAUUACUGGGCGUAAAGCGUGCGUAGUCGGUUAUUUAAGUCGGAUGUGAAAUCCCCGGGCUCAACCUGGGAAUUGCAUUCGAUACUGGAUAGCUAGAGUUCGGCAGAGGGAAGUGGAAUUUCGGGUGUAGCGGUGAAAUGCGUAGAUAUCCGAAGGAACAUCAGUGGCGAAAGCGACUUCCUGGACCAGAACUGACGAUCAGGCACGAAAGCGUGGGGAGCAAACCGG